This 1116-nucleotide long non-coding RNA is filed under the name Junco hyemalis (dark-eyed junco). Its description in RNAcentral is "lncRNA (ENSJHYG00000016522.1)". Lineage: Eukaryota; Metazoa; Chordata; Aves; Passeriformes; Passerellidae. The record is from RNAcentral.
AAUGCAAACCUUUUACAGUUCUGCUAUUAACUGUUUCUAACACUUAUGCCAUUGAUUAUGUUUCUACUUUUUCAGAAAAAUGGUUGCUUUAAUUUGUUUCUGAUUCACAGUCAGCUUUCAUAGCACAGCAAUUUGUUUUUCACCAUUUCUCCCUGUUUUUAAGGGAGAAUCUGUGUACAAUUCUAUACUCCCAUUGCUAUGUGCCUUGCUGUUAAUGCAUUCUUUCAGAAUGUCUUUAAAAAAACAUCAUAAAACAGAGCUACAGUUUUAAUUAUGUAAGGCUUUUGUUGUUGUUGAGGAGAGGAAGACCGCCUAACAAAGCCAAACAGGAUGCCCUUUGUUGGAAGGACAAACUGUGUCCUGAAACAACUACCAGGAUUGUGGAUCUCCUGCUGAGUGACAGCAGUCUCCAAGCUUUGGCACCCGAUUUCUGCUGGUCACAGCUCGUGUGGCAGCCUGGAAGCACUUCAACUGAGACAACACAACUGGUGCUCCUCCAGACCCAGAGAACAAAAAAAGCCCAGGCUUACACGUUGGCUGAGGUGGGAAGGGACCUGGAGGACACCUGCUCAACCCCUUGUUCAAGCAGGAUCACUACAUUGCCCAGGACCAUGUCAUGAUGGCUUUUGAGUAUCUGCAAGGAUGAAGACUCCACGACCUUCCUGGGCAACUUGUGCCAGGGUGUCGUCACUCUCACAGUGAAAAGGUUUUUCCUGAUGUUCAGAGGUGGCAUCCUGUGUUUCAGUUCGUGCCAUUGCCUCUGGUUCUGGCACUGGGCACCACUGAAAAGAGUCUUUCUCUGUCCUUGUUACAGCCUCCACCUUUACAUCACUUCAUGCCAAGAUAUUACAUUGUUGUAUUAGUCACCUUAACAAACUUCCAGGCCUGAUUAUUGGGGGUGUGUGAUGCAGAGAGCAGGAAGAAAUAUUUCAAUAGGCUUUUGAUGAGUUGAUAUAUAAAAAGGGAAAUGAAUUAUGUAAUUUCUACUAAUUUUUCACUGGAAUCCAUAGUUACUUGGGGUAUAAGAACAAGAACAAAGAACUUUGAUACCACAACUCUCUGUGCCAAUUAAUGUUUGUGGUUUAUAUCAGGCAGCCAUUUGAUGAAAUAAAUAAU